GGGAGCGUACGUGCAGGUCGAGGGGCAGCGGUUAGAUGAGCUUGCUCAUUUAUGCCGGCGACCGGCGCACGGGUGACCAUUUCGUAUGCGACCUGCCCGUCUCAGGGGGAUAAUCGUCGCCUAUGGCGUCUAAUACCCCGUAUGAAGCUGGACGGCAUCGUCUGGUUUUGAAAGAAUAUCGGAGACGGAUGGGCAUGCUUCGCAUUAACUAGUUGGCGGGGUAACGGCCCACCAAGGCGACGAUGCGUAUGGGUUCUGAGAGGAAGGUCCCCCACACUGGUACUGAGACACGGACCAGACUCCUACGGGAGGCAGCAGUGAGGAAUAUUGGUCAAUGGGCGAGAGCCUGAACCAGCCCAGUCGCGUGAGGGAGUACUGCCCUAUGGGUUGUAAACCUCUUUUGUCGGGGAGCAAAAGCCGGACGUGUCCGUCUGUGAGAGUACCCGAAGAAAAAGCAUCGGCUAACUCCGUGCCAGCAGCCGCGGUAAUACGGAGGAUGCGAGCGUUAUCCGGAUUUAUUGGGUUUAAAGGGUGCGCAGGCGGAUUUUUAAGUCAUCGGUCAAAUCGUGGGGCUCAACCCCAUCCAGUCGUUGAAACUGGGGAUCUAGAGUGUGCGAGAGGUAUGCGGAAUGCGUGGUGUAGCGGUGAAAUGCAUAGAUAUCACGCAGAACCCCGAUUGCGAACGCAGCAUACCGGUGCACAACUGACGCUCAAGCACGAAAGCGUGGGUAUCGAACAGGAUUAGAUACC
Molecule: ribosomal RNA, 750 nt
Filed under: uncultured bacterium
Lineage: Bacteria
Description: bacterial SSU rRNA
Rfam family: Bacterial small subunit ribosomal RNA
Source: RNAcentral